This 563-nucleotide ribosomal RNA is filed under the name uncultured Alphaproteobacteria bacterium. RNAcentral describes it as "bacterial SSU rRNA". It matches the Rfam family "Bacterial small subunit ribosomal RNA", at positions 38 to 649 of the family's 1533-position model. The record is from RNAcentral. Lineage: Bacteria; Pseudomonadati; Pseudomonadota; Alphaproteobacteria.
GGCGGCAGGCUUAACACNUGCAAGUCGAACGAGACUUCGGUCUAGUGGCGCACGGGUGAGUAACGCGUGGGAACCUGUCCUAUGGUACGGAAUAACACCGGGAAACUGGUGCUAAUACCGUAUAAGCCCCGAGGGGGAAAGAUUUAUCGCCAUAGGAGGGGCCCGCGUAGGAUUAGCUAGUUGGUGAGGUAACGGCUCACCAAGGCGACGAUCCUUAGCUGGUCUGAGAGGAUGAUCAGCCACACUGGGACUGAGACACGGCCCAGACUCCUACGGGAGGCAGCAGUGGGGAAUAUUGGACAAUGGGGGAAACCCUGAUCCAGCCAUGCCGCGUGAGUGAUGAAGGCCUUCGGGUUGUAAAGCCCUUUCGCACGCGACGAUNAUGACGGUAGCGUGAGAAGAAACCCCGGCUAACUUCGUGCCAGCAGCCGCGGUAAUACGAAGGGGGCAAGCGUUGUUCGGAAUUACUGGGCGUAAAGGGCGCGUANGCGGUGCGUUAANUCAGAUGUGAAAGCCCUGGGCUCAACCCGGGAAUUGCAUUUGAUACUGGCGUGCUCGAAUCC